Molecule: ribosomal RNA, 611 nt
Filed under: Naganishia albida
Lineage: Eukaryota; Fungi; Basidiomycota; Tremellomycetes; Filobasidiales; Filobasidiaceae
Description: partial 26S ribosomal RNA
Rfam family: Eukaryotic large subunit ribosomal RNA
Source: RNAcentral
UAAGCGGAGGAAAAGAAACUAACAAGGAUUCCCCUAGUAACGGCGAGUGAAGCGGGAAGAGCUCAAAUUUGAAAUCUGGUAGCCUUCGGUUGCCCGAGUUGUAAUCUAGAGAAGUGUUUUCCGUGCCGGCCCAUGUACAAGUCCCUUGGAACAGGGCGUCAUAGAGGGUGAGAAUCCCGUCCUUGACAUGGACCCCCGGUGCUUUGUGAUACACUUUCAACGAGUCGAGUUGUUUGGGAAUGCAGCUCAAAAUGGGUGGUGAAUUCCAUCUAAAGCUAAAUAUUGGCGAGAGACCGAUAGCGAACAAGUACCGUGAGGGAAAGAUGAAAAGCACUUUGGAAAGAGAGUUAAACAGUACGUGAAAUUGUUGAAAGGGAAACGAUUGAAGUCAGUCAUGCUCUUGGGACUUACCUCCCUUGAGUGGGGUCAACAUCAGUUUUGAUCGAUGGAUAAAGGCACGGGGAAGGUAGCACUCUCGGGUGAACUUAUAGCCUCGCGUCAUAUACAUUGAUUGGGACUGAGGAACGCAGCAUGCCUUUUGGCCGGGAUUCGUCCACGUACAUGCUUAGGAUGUUGACAUAAUGGCUUUAAACGACCCGUCUUGAAACACG